GGGAUUGCCUCAGUAACGGCGAGUGAAGCGGCAACAGCUCAAAUUUGAAAUCUGGCUCUUUCAGGGUCCGAAUUGUAAUUUGCAGAGGAUGCUUUGGGUGCGGGCGCCUUCCGAGUUCCCUGGAACGGGACGCCAUAGAGGGUGAGAGCCCCGUCUGGUAGGAUGCCCAGCCCGUGUAAAGCUCCCUCGACGAGUCGAGUAGUUUGGGAAUGCUGCUCUAAGGGGAGGUAUACUCCUUCCAAAGCUAAAUACCGGCUGGAGACCGAUAGCGCACAAGUAGAGUGAUCGAAAGAUGAAAAGCACUUUGAAAAGAGAGUCAAAUAGCACGUGAAAUUGUUGAAAGGGAAGCGCUCGCUACCAGACUUGGGUACGCGGUUCCGUAGGUGCUCCGCACCUGCGUACUCCUCGUGCCCAGGCCAGCAUCAGUUCUUCGUCGGGUUAAAAGGCUUCGGGAAUGUGGCUCGCCUCGGUGAGUGUUAUAGCCCGUUGUGUCAUGCCCGGUGGGGGACUGAGGUACGCGCUCCGCAAGGAUGCUGGCGUAAUGGUAGCUAGUGACCCGUCUUGAAACACGGACCAAGGAGUCAACCUUAUGUGCAAGUGCCCGGGCGUAAAACCCCAGCGCGGAAUGAAAGUGAACGUAGGUGAGAGCUUCGGCGCAUCACCGACCGAUCCUGAUGUCCUCGGACGGAUUUGAGUGUGAGCAUAUAGGGUUGGACCCGAAAGAAGAUGAACUAUGCGUGUGUAGGGUGAAGCCAGAGGAAACUCUGGUGGAGGCUCGCAGCGGUUCUGACGUGCAAAUCGAUCGUCAAACAUGCGCAUGGGGGCGAAAGACUA
This 834-nucleotide ribosomal RNA is filed under the name Nectria inventa. RNAcentral's name for it is "LSU rRNA". It matches the Rfam family "Eukaryotic large subunit ribosomal RNA", at positions 71 to 933 of the family's 3401-position model. Lineage: Eukaryota; Fungi; Ascomycota; Sordariomycetes; Hypocreales; Nectriaceae. The record is from RNAcentral.